This 343-nucleotide ribosomal RNA is filed under the name uncultured bacterium. Its description in RNAcentral is "partial 16S ribosomal RNA". It matches the Rfam family "Bacterial small subunit ribosomal RNA", at positions 355 to 708 of the family's 1533-position model. The record is from RNAcentral.
UGGGGAAUAUUGCACAAUGGGCGAAAGCCUGAUGCAGCGACGCCGCGUGAGGGAUGACGGCCUUCGGGUUGUAAACCUCUUUCAGCAGGGAAGAAGCGAAAGUGACGGUACCUGCAGAAGAAGCGCCGGCUAACUACGUGCCAGCAGCCGCGGUAAUACGUAGGGCGCAAGCGUUGUCCGGAAUUAUUGGGCGUAAAGAGCUCGUAGGCGGUUAGUCGCGUCUGCUGUGAAAACUCGAGGCUCAACCUCGGGCUUGCAGUGGGUACGGGCUGACUAGAGUCUCGUAGAGGGGGUGAGAAUGAUCCAGGUGUAGCGGUGAAAUGCGUAGAGAUCUGGAGGAAUA